GGGCCCAUAGCUCAGCUGGUUAGAGCGCACGCCUGAUAAGCGUGAGGUCGGUGGUUCGAGUCCACUUGGGCCCA
Molecule: transfer RNA, 74 nt
Filed under: Ammoniphilus oxalaticus
Lineage: Bacteria; Bacillati; Bacillota; Bacilli; Caryophanales; Paenibacillaceae
Also listed under: 2 other names
Rfam family: tRNA
About the family: Transfer RNA (tRNA) molecules are approximately 80 nucleotides in length. Their secondary structure includes four short double-helical elements and three loops (D, anti-codon, and T loops). Further hydrogen bonds mediate the characteristic L-shaped molecular structure. tRNAs have two regions of fundamental functional importance: the anti-codon, which is responsible for specific mRNA codon recognition, and the 3' end, to which the tRNAs corresponding amino acid is attached (by aminoacyl-tRNA synthetases). tRNAs cope with the degeneracy of the genetic code in two manners: having more than one tRNA (with a specific anti-codon) for a particular amino acid; and 'wobble' base-pairing, i.e. permitting non-standard base-pairing at the 3rd anti-codon position.
Source: Rfam by way of RNAcentral